Suncus etruscus (white-toothed pygmy shrew) is the source of this 704-nucleotide long non-coding RNA. RefSeq lists it as uncharacterized. The record is from RefSeq and is a predicted model, not a curated record. The transcript has 2 exons. Lineage: Eukaryota; Metazoa; Chordata; Mammalia; Eulipotyphla; Soricidae.
GUCCUUGGAAUUUUGAAAACCACCUAUUUCUACUCAGGUACUUAAUUUCCUAUGAGGGGGUCACCCAUGAUAUUUGUGUGUGUGUGUGUGUGUGUGUGUGUGUGUGUGUGUGUGUGUGUGUGUGUGUGUAGACCCAUGACAUUUUUGUCAAAUCAGUUUCCAUAUAUGUGUGUCUUUGUUCCAGGUCUCCAUCCAAAGAAUGGUCAAUAUUAGAAUCACAUUUUCCUGUUUUGUAUUUGUCACCUCAAAUAACUCGGCCCAGCAGUUUUCCAUUCCAGAACUCCAGAACUCCAUCCUGCUCUACUUAAUUUAUAUCCUCCCUUAUUCUUGUCUCUGGCUUUUCACUGCCUUUAAUUCCUGUACUACUUGCCUUGGAAAUUAAGAAUCCUCUUAGACAGUCCUGAUGUGGGGUCCUGUGUUGGAGCCUUAGUCGCAUUACAGAAAGGCUUAGAAAACAGGCCAAAAGCCUGUUCCAUUCCGUCUCCACUUGGACAAUAAGAGGUGGUAGCACAUGAGGCUGUCUCCACUGUCAAGUCAUUUGGGGCUCCUCCUUCCACUGACUUAAGGAUCUUCACUUAACUGAGCCCCCUUAGACUUUUUGCAGAAUGGCUAUUCCCCUAGAAACUAGAGCACAUAAUGACACAUAACUGUACUCCCGGUAGGCUAGGAAUUGACCCGACAAUAAACUUUGAUAAUAAAGACAA